RNAcentral lists this transfer RNA (71 nucleotides) under Acetilactobacillus jinshanensis. It matches the Rfam family "tRNA". From Rfam's summary of the family: Transfer RNA (tRNA) molecules are approximately 80 nucleotides in length. Their secondary structure includes four short double-helical elements and three loops (D, anti-codon, and T loops). The record is from Rfam by way of RNAcentral. Lineage: Bacteria; Bacillati; Bacillota; Bacilli; Lactobacillales; Lactobacillaceae. RNAcentral also lists the same sequence under 1 other name.
GCGGGUAUAGUUUAAUGGUAAAACCUCAGCCUUCCAAGCUGAUGUUGCCAGUUCGAUUCUGGUUACCCGCU